RNAcentral lists this ribosomal RNA (497 nucleotides) under uncultured bacterium. RNAcentral's name for it is "partial 16S ribosomal RNA". It matches the Rfam family "Bacterial small subunit ribosomal RNA", at positions 28 to 507 of the family's 1533-position model. The record is from RNAcentral.
GAUGAACGCUGGCGGCGUGCCUAAUACAUGCAAGUCGAGCGAACAGACGAGGAGCUUGCUCCUCUGACGUUAGCGGCGGACGGGUGAGUAACACGUGGAUAACCUACCUAUAAGACUGGGAUAACUUCGGGAAACCGGAGCUAAUACCGGAUAAUAUAUUGAACCGCAUGGUUCAAUAGUGAAAGACGGUUUUGCUGUCACUUAUAGAUGUAUCCGCGCCGCAUUAGCUAGUUGGUAAGGUAACGGCUUACCAAGGCAACGAUGCGUAGCCGAACUGAGAGGGUGAUCGGCCACACUGGAACUGAGACACGGUCCAGACUCCUACGGGAGGCAGCAGUAGGGAAUCUUCCGCAAUGGGCGAAAGCCUGACGGAGCAACGCCGCGUGAGUGAUGAAGGUCUUCGGAUCGUAAAACUCUGUUAUUAGGGAAGAACAAAUGUGUAAGUAACUAUGCACGUCUUGACGGUACCUAAUCAGAAAGCCCCGGCUAACUACGUG